Molecule: ribosomal RNA, 483 nt
Filed under: uncultured bacterium
Lineage: Bacteria
Description: bacterial SSU rRNA
Rfam family: Bacterial small subunit ribosomal RNA
Source: RNAcentral
CGCGAACGCUGGCGGCAUGGCUAAAACAUGCAAGUCGAACGCGAAAGCGGGCAACCGCAAGUAGAGUGGCGGAAGGGCGAGUAAUGCAUUUCUAACGUGCCCCAAGGUUAGGGAUAGCUCACCGAAAGGUGUGGUAAUACCUGAUGAUGCUGCCGGGUCGUAUGGCCUGGCAGCCAAAGGCUUGCUGCCUUGGGAGCGGGGAAUGUCCUAUCAGCUAGUUGGUGAGGUAACGGCUCACCAAGGCGAAGACGGGUAGCGGGUGUGAGAGCACGGCCCGCCGCAUCGGGACUGAGACACUGCCCGGACUCCUACGGGAGGCUGCAGUAACGAAUAUUCCACAAUGCGCGAAAGCGUGAUGGAGCAAUGCCGCGUGCGGGAUGAAGCCCCUCGGGGUGUAAACCGCUGUCAGGGUUCAGGAAUUCUGAUCAGACCCCAAAGGAAGAGGCGGCUAACUCUGUGCCAGCAGCCGCGGUAAUACAGAGG